RNAcentral lists this ribosomal RNA (456 nucleotides) under Haminoea orbignyana. RNAcentral's name for it is "partial 16S ribosomal RNA". It matches the Rfam family "Bacterial large subunit ribosomal RNA", at positions 1796 to 2620 of the family's 2925-position model. The record is from RNAcentral. Lineage: Eukaryota; Metazoa; Mollusca; Gastropoda; Cephalaspidea; Haminoeidae.
UCGCCUGUUUAUCAAAAACAUAGCCCUAAGGAUUAAUUUAGGGUAAUGCCUGCCCAAUGAGAAAUUCAAUGGCCGCGGUACUUUGACCGUGCUAAGGUAGCAUAAUCAAUUGACUUUUAAAUGAAGUCUGGAAUGAAAGGAGGAACGGAAUUUAGCUGUCUCAAUUUUUUUAGUUUGAAGUUACUAACUAAGUGAAAAGGCUUAGAAAAGAUAAAAGACGAGAAGACCCUAAGAGUUUUUAGUAUAUUUUUGUUGGGGCGACAUAGGGUCAAUUUUUAAACACCCUUAAUAUAUAUGACGGAUUUUUCAUGGUAAGAUAAACUACCUUAGGGAUAACAGCAUAAUUUUUUUAAAGUUUGUGACCUCGAUGUUGGACUAGGAAGCCUUUAGGCUAGCUGCCUAAUAGGGGGAUUCUGUUCGAAUUUUUACUCCUACGUGAUCUGAGUUCAGACCGGA